Molecule: long non-coding RNA, 518 nt
Filed under: Gossypium raimondii (Peruvian cotton)
Lineage: Eukaryota; Viridiplantae; Streptophyta; Magnoliopsida; Malvales; Malvaceae
Description: long non-coding RNA (GRAI_LNC000278)
Source: RNAcentral
CAUUUUCUAAAGGAAAAAUAGUCUUUAAAUUCGCAUAAAAGCACUUACCACGAAACUAACAACAACCAAAAUUACUCCAAAUACUUAAUUUGCUGGAGAUUUGUUUAACACUACACGUUCUUCUCCUAACAAACCAUAACUAUCAAUCAAUGGAAUUCGUAGCGCACCAAAACGUAAAUUGAGAACCAAGAAAACUAAAACCCUCGUCACAGAAAAUAACAAUAUUUACCUCAGAUUACUUACAUUUAAUACUAACAACACCACGAAACGCUCGUACGAGUAAUAGAAAAAGAAUUGUGAGAGAAAUUUUACAGUCAAAGAAAAACUAAUAUGAGGAAGACAUAACAAAACAAAAAAGAAAAUAUAUGGAGCAAAAAGAAAAAAAAAACAAAAACAAAAACAUAGGGAAGGUGGAGGUUAAAAAAGGGAGGAUUUUUAGGAAACCAAUUAUUAUUAUAGUUAUUUUUUAAAAAACUACCCAUUACCCGCACUAACCAACCACUUAUCAUAUUCCCCAG